This 68-nucleotide unclassified non-coding RNA is filed under the name Caenorhabditis briggsae. RNAcentral's name for it is "Cb151 C/D snoRNA". Lineage: Eukaryota; Metazoa; Nematoda; Chromadorea; Rhabditida; Rhabditidae. The record is from RNAcentral.
CUCGAUGAUGAUUCACCUAGCUCACUCAGACAUGAUAACUGGUGAUAACUUCUUUCCCCGUCUUAGAG